GCCGCCGCCCCGCCAGCCCUGCCAGCCCCGCGUCCGCCGCCCGGCCCGGCCGCCGACACCCCAACAGACUCACACACACACUCACACAUACUCACACACACGCCGGAGCAUUCCAACAGCCCUGCCCCAAACGAAGAAGGUGAAAACUGCACGGAAAACUGGUCGCCGACGAGCUUUGAAGACCGUGGCAGGAGGGAUCCUCACCCCCCCACACACAGGCAGACCGGUGGAACAUCAGUGUUCUCUGGUGUGGUUUCUCAGGCUGCUGUGGAUUUUGCAAUACGGAUUUUUUUUUUUCUUUUCCCUCUAUGAGCACUACUUUCCCGUGCUCACAAAAGCAGCUCUUUCCCAGCACAUGAAUGAAUCCGACCCCUGCUCUGCCACCAUUCAUGCGUCCCACAUCCGAGAUGUUUACUUAAUCCAAACCAGAGUGACGGCCGCGCUCCCCACGUCUUCGCCAAACUAAGUCUUAGCGCUCACGGGACAAGCCGCCUGGGAGAGGCGGGCACACCGGUACCUCGCAGGCAGGCGGGAGGGGUCGGCGGUAGGGCCCCGAAGCCAGGCACCCGCGGGGCAUGCGGGUGCGGGGGUGGAUGUCGCCUAGGAGCGCCAAGGGGACCCGUUCGUUCCGCAGUCGCCGCUUGGCCUCGGCCGCCGCGGCUCAGCCCCUCCACUGGCCCCCCGAGCGGCCAGGACGGUGGCGGGGCGGUCUGCACCCUGUCCGCGCCAGCCAGUCAGGCUCCCGCCCUCCCUGGGGGAGAGGAGAAGCUGGGGGCGUGUGUUCAAGUGGUCUGAGCUGCUCUGAAUUAUGUGCCAGGACUGGACAUCCCUGAUGUGAAGUAGCCAAUGUGGUGUUCUGACCUGCUUCACUUUUAAAUAAAAUGUACUUAAGUAUUGC
Molecule: long non-coding RNA, 898 nt
Filed under: Marmota monax (woodchuck)
Lineage: Eukaryota; Metazoa; Chordata; Mammalia; Rodentia; Sciuridae
Source: RNAcentral